Molecule: long non-coding RNA, 2854 nt
Filed under: Meleagris gallopavo (turkey)
Lineage: Eukaryota; Metazoa; Chordata; Aves; Galliformes; Phasianidae
Description: lncRNA (ENSMGAG00000022564.1)
Source: RNAcentral
CGGGGAGGGAGAGCGGUGGGAGGGGGGAGGGGAGAGCGAGCGUCCUCCGAACGGCGUCGUGUUUCGCCGUUCUUGUCCUCGGUCUGAUUUCUCUCUCCUUUCCCCGGCCGAAUUUCGGCGCCCCGUUACACGUCCUCCAGGGGGAGGUUGGAGCCGACGGGCAGCCGGCGGCUGUGGGCUGUGCGGGGCUCUCGUGGCGGUGAUGCUGCAGUAACGUGUCCUCCGUGCUCCCUUCGCUGAGAUGUGCCGUGUGUGUCUGUGGCCGUGCUGAGGCUGCACGAAAGAUGUCACGGCUGGUGUCUGCAGACCCGUGAGGGAAAUCUACACUCGCGUUCCGAAGACGGUGCUCUCUUUCCCUCUCCCCCUCCUGCCCCCUUGAUGUAGAAAUGCGUCUAUGAUCGCUGUGAGCAAAGUCUGAGAAGGAGCUGGAUUUCAAUUCCUGCUGCUGUUUUCUUUCCCCUUACUCUUUCUCUCCCCAUACGUCACCAUGUGGACGUUAUCUGCUAAUUGUAUUUUCAACUUUUUCUCAUGAUCCCAACGCUGUGAAUUUCUCAGUGGUUGCUGAGAGGAAGGCAAUCAUAAAUACAGAUUUUAGCAUAUUGUAUCAUAGCUAAUCACGUUCUGCUGCAAAAAAGGAAAGCGUAGUCCCUUUUUAAAAAAGCAGGAGACAGAGCGCUUCCCCCCAAAAAGGGAAAAACCCCCAAACGUUUAUGCUGAGUUAACAUGCUGAGAAUGAAGAGUGGCAGCUUUGCUUCUUCCCUUCACUACUUGUCUUGGUUUGAAGUACAGAGGAAAGGAUGCGUGAGCCAUGCUGGAGCGGUGUGCCUGCCUGCAGAGUGUGGCAGUGAGCAAGGCAGAGAAUUUUAUAGCGUCUCUAUAAUGUCUGUCUCCUUCCUAGAUGGCACUGAGUUCUCUGAGAUGCGCUACGGAAAUGAUGAGAACGACUUCUGAGGCUGUGAGCGGUGGCUGAUGAGAGAAGCUAAAGAGAGGAACCUCAAAAUUGAACAGAUUGGCCUCUCUCCUCUGGGACAAAGCCAGUGCCAACCGCCUGACCAACUCAGCAGGAACCGCGGGCUGUGGGAGAUUGCAGCGCCUUCAGCGAUGGAGCAGCGCAGGAUGCUGGGCUCGGAUCCCAAAGCAAACCUGCGUGAACGGAAACGUGAGCUCCUCAGCACACGCAGCGUAGUUUACUCAGCCAGGCUGGUUGUACGUGUGAGUGGACGGACGCUUCGAAGGAGGUGGAAGCUCUGCAGCUCUGACAGAUGGCCCAGGAACCCUUACUGUCGUAAUCAAAGCUAUGACACUUCAUCGCUGGCAAUCUGUCAGGCUUCCCCAGCCUCCUUUCUGAUCUUCGCCUCAGCGAGCAGCUUUCUACCUCAGAGUCUUUUGAAGAUUGAAAAGGCAAAGAAGUUCUCUGCCUUUGCUCCUGCCUCCACCUGCCCUCAGCACGCAGCCAGGAGAUGAGGGGCACUCAGGAGCACGAUGGGAGCCCUUCGUAUCUCCUCAGCUCCUGACCUUCCAGCUCUGCAGAGACAUUUCAUAUCUCAGUGACAGCCUGCGGCCCCCACAGCCCCCCCGAUUCAGCCCGAAGGCCCACUGCCUCUCUUCCCCCCCACGCACACAGAUGGGCGCGCUGGGCACCAGCACUGCUGUCCCAACAGCGGAUUCAUCGCCCGGCCCGCAAUUGGUCUGUCAGCACCGCGUGUUUAUUUUGAGAGUGCCGGCCCGGGCGCUCGGUGGUUUCCACAGGAGGAAGAAAUGUUUCCCGAGGAGGGCCCUGGCACGCGCUGCCCCGAGGAGCGGCGCACACCCAUGUGUGGAAUCAGACUCUGUGACCACAAAGCAGUUAUAAAAGCAGGCAUGUUUAAUCAGGGCUGCGACGCCGGGUGCAAGGGGGAGAGCUGCUCCUAAGUGGCACAGCGUCAGGAAGAAGCGUGCUGAGCUCGAGGCCGAACUGAGAGGUGAUCAGUAGUUUCCAGGGAUUGGGAUCCACGUUCCUUACAUUCCGAGAAGCCAUCAGCACGCGGCCCCCCCUCGCGCGUGCACAGUGAGCGGUGAGGGUCUCCUCCUGGUGGUCGUGGGAUGAAGAAUCCUCAUCUUCCUCGCGAAGGCUCGCAGUCUUUCUCCCUGUUCGCUUUGGACCCUGCGGGAGGGGCAGCCCCCCCAGCCCCGUUUCAGCUCGCCCUGCGGACAUCGAAUCGCCUCACUGCCCGGCGUCCUCAGGCCGUUCUCAAACCCUUCUGGUUACGGCCUUCAGCCCCUCGUUAUCCCAGACCCAGUGUCUGCCAUCCCUUAUUUUUCUAACAUUCUUGCUUCUAUAAACUAACAACCCCUCCCUUUCCCCCUCCCCCAGUCGUACGUCCCCAUGAAACCUUUUCCUCACGUUUUUACUACGGGGCCCUUCUCACUCUCCAGCACCGGCCCGCACAGCCGUACCGCACAAGCGCGCAGCAGGCGCGGGCUGCUGCCUCCUGCACGCCCCGCCCCCGCCUCUCCUAUUGGCCGGCCGUGCCCGUUCGGUCAUCUCGUUGGCUGGCGCCGCCGCCUGUUAUAUGCACGGCCCGCCUCCGCGCCUUCUUCCGGGAGUGUCCCGUCCGCCCCUUCGUGUCUGCGGAGCCAAUUGGCUGCCCUGAUUGUCACUUACAGCUUGGGCGGAGGGCCGAUUGGACGAACGAGGUCAGGCGGGUUGCCCGCUCUGCGCGUGCGCGGUCCGAGCGAGGGCGGGUCCGGGUAACGGGCGCGCGGAGUCGUGACGUCACUGGACGCGACGCGCAGCGGCCGGGGUGAGCGUCACGUGAUCCGGGGAGCCGGCGGUUCGGGGCCGAGGAAACGCGGCUGCUCGCGGUGCUGGGCG